Molecule: ribosomal RNA, 650 nt
Filed under: uncultured bacterium
Lineage: Bacteria
Description: bacterial SSU rRNA
Rfam family: Bacterial small subunit ribosomal RNA
Source: RNAcentral
UCAGGCCUAACACAUGCAAGUCGAGCGGACAGAAGGGAGCUUGCUCCCGGAUGUUAGCGGCGGACGGGUGAGUAACACGUGGGUAACCUGCCUGUAAGACUGGGAUAACUCCGGGAAACCGGAGCUAAUACCGGGUAGUUCCUUGAACCGCAUGGUUCAAGGAUGAAAGACGGUUUCGGCUGUCACUUACAGAUGGACCCGCGGCGCAUUAGCUAGUUGGUGGGGUAAUGGCUCACCAAGGCGACGAUGCGUAGCCGACCUGAGAGGGUGAUCGGCCACACUGGGACUGAGACACGGCCCAGACUCCUACGGGAGGCAGCAGUAGGGAAUCUUCCGCAAUGGACGAAAGUCUGACGGAGCAACGCCGCGUGAGUGAUGAAGGUUUUCGGAUCGUAAAGCUCUGUUGUUAGGGAAGAACAAGUGCGAGAGUAACUGCUCGCACCUUGACGGUACCUAACCAGAAAGCCACGGCUAACCACGUGCCAGCAGCCGCGGUAAUACGUAGGUAGCAAGCGUUGUCCGGAAUUAUUGGGCGUAAAGGGCUCGCAGGCGGUUUCUUAAGUCUGAUGUGAAAGCCCCCGGCUCAACCGGGGAGGGUCAUUGGAAACUGGGAAACUUGAGUGCAGAAGAGGAGAGUGGAAUUCCACGUG